This 1542-nucleotide ribosomal RNA is filed under the name Bifidobacterium primatium. RNAcentral's name for it is "bacterial SSU rRNA". It matches the Rfam family "Bacterial small subunit ribosomal RNA". The record is from RNAcentral. Lineage: Bacteria; Bacillati; Actinomycetota; Actinomycetes; Bifidobacteriales; Bifidobacteriaceae.
GUUUUUUUGUGGAGGGUUUGAUUCUGGCUCAGGACGAACGCUGGCGGCGUGCUUAACACAUGCAAGUCGAACGGGAUCCAUCAGGCUUUGCCUGGUGGUGAGAGUGGCGAACGGGUGAGUAAUGCGUGACCGACCUGCCCCGUACUUCGGAAUAGCUCCUGGAAACGGGUGGUAAUGCCGGAUGCUCCAACAUGCUGCAUGGUGUGUUGGGAAAGGGUUUUGUACCGGUAUGGGAUGGGGUCGCGUCCUAUCAGCUUGUUGGUGAGGUGACGGCUCACCAAGGCUUCGACGGGUAGCCGGCCUGAGAGGGCGACCGGCCACAUUGGGACUGAGAUACGGCCCAGACUCCUACGGGAGGCAGCAGUGGGGAAUAUUGCACAAUGGGCGCAAGCCUGAUGCAGCGACGCCGCGUGCGGGAUGACGGCCUUCGGGUUGUAAACCGCUUUUGAUUGGGAGCAAGCGGAAGUGAGUGUACCUUUCGAAUAAGCGCCGGCUAACUACGUGCCAGCAGCCGCGGUAAUACGUAGGGCGCAAGCGUUGUCCGGAAUUAUUGGGCGUAAAGGGCUCGUAGGCGGCCCGUCGCGUCCGGUGUGAAAGCCCGUCGCUUAACGUCGGGUCUGCGCCGGGUACGGGCGGGCUGGAGUGCGGUAGGGGAGACUGGAAUUCCCGGUGUAACGGUGGAAUGUGUAGAUAUCGGGAAGAACACCAAUGGCGAAGGCAGGUCUCUGGGCCGUUACUGACGCUGAGGAGCGAAAGCGUGGGGAGCGAACAGGAUUAGAUACCCUGGUAGUCCACGCCGUAAACGGUGGACGCUGGAUGUGGGGCCCUUUCCACGGGUUCCGUGUCGGAGCUAACGCGUUAAGCGUCCCGCCUGGGGAGUACGGCCGCAAGGCUAAAACUCAAAGAAAUUGACGGGGGCCCGCACAAGCGGCGGAGCAUGCGGAUUAAUUCGAUGCAACGCGAAGAACCUUACCUGGGCUUGACAUGUUCCCGACGACCGCAGAGAUGUGGUUUCCCUUCGGGGCGGGUUCACAGGUGGUGCAUGGUCGUCGUCAGCUCGUGUCGUGAGAUGUUGGGUUAAGUCCCGCAACGAGCGCAACCCUUGCCCUGUGUUGCCAGCGCGUCAUGGCGGGGACUCACGGGGGACCGCCGGGGUUAACUCGGAGGAAGGUGGGGAUGACGUCAGAUCAUCAUGCCCCUUACGUCCAGGGCUUCACGCAUGCUACAAUGGCCGGUACAGCGGGAUGCGAUGGCGCGAGCCGGAGCGGAUCCCUGAAAACCGGUCUCAGUUCGGAUCGGAGCCUGCAACUCGGCUCCGUGAAGGUGGAGUCGCUAGUAAUCGCGGAUCAGCAACGCCGCGGUGAAUGCGUUCCCGGGCCUUGUACACACCGCCCGUCAAGUCAUGAAAGUGGGCAGCACCCGAAGCCGGUGGCCUAACCCGCAAGGGAUGGAGCCGUCUAAGGUGAGGCUCGUGAUUGGGACUAAGUCGUAACAAGGUAGCCGUACCGGAAGGUGCGGCUGGAUCACCUCCUUUCUACGGAG